AAACUGAUCGAUCUCUUUUCUCCUUGAAAACGGAUUUUUUUUUAAAUGUGUUUUUUUUUUAAAUUGAACAACCUGUGGCAUUACGAGUAGCGCAGGAAAGGAAACGUUAACUUCUUAAUUAUGAAUGUUCAUCACCCACAGUCCCUUUAAAGUCAGCCAUUUCCUGGCUGCUGUUUUAGUUUUGUGUCCUCAUUACGACUUCCUUUUGUUUUUUUUUUUGUAGUAAGAAUCAAGGCAAAAAGCGGNCAUUUGAAUGGAUGUCCCAUCAGUGGCAUUUACACAUGGGUUGAUGCAGUUCUUCAUUGGGAUGCUAGAGGAGGCAAGUGGGGGAGGGGAUUCUUGCUUGCAAACCCUCCUGCAGGUAGGACAGUAUCGAGCGGAGGCGUAGCAGGGGGACUGCCAGGGCAUUUGUCACCCAUCCCCUCGCGGAGGCACUGGGCAGCUCGGCCCAGUCUGUCUCGGUUGUAAUUCCGAUGUAUUUUUUUUAAAUGUAGAUUUGUUUUCCUCCUCCUAAGUAUUUCCAAUACAGAUCUGUACAGAGAACAAAACUAUAUCUAUAUUUUCAGUUGCCGCUUUUGUACAUCCAAAACUCCAAAGACCUCCCUGUGUCUAUCUCCUGAGGACUAAAUGAAGGUUGUGUUGUCCCCGCCGCAGCGCCUUGGCGGGGACAGCGCAUUGCCUGUUGCACAAUUUAUUUAUGUAUUUAAAUGUAUACCUUAGUUUGUAGCCUUUGCAGCAUCACAGCUGCUGCUUCGAGUGUCCUGCGUAACCAAGGUCUCGCUAAACUACCCCAAGUACCUACUGCCGAGUUCGUAUUUUUAUUACUGUAGCAAGAUUGGCACAUGAGUUCGAUGCAUCAAGACUGUCAAAACGGCAUUCAGAAUGGUAUAAUAUGUAGCAAUUUUUUGCACCUUUUUUCCCCCCCCAAGUGUCCCCAUCAAGAACUUUAAAACCAACCAAUUUCCCUGUGGUCUGGGGUAGCUGUGCCCAGAAUCCUGCUGUGACUUCAAUGGUUCUUGUAUCAUAGUUAUAGUGAAUUUCUGAAUGCAAUAAAAGUUGUAAAUCCUGAGGAAUAGUUAAGGUG
Molecule: long non-coding RNA, 1084 nt
Filed under: Chrysemys picta bellii (western painted turtle)
Lineage: Eukaryota; Metazoa; Chordata; Testudines; Emydidae
Description: lncRNA (ENSCPBG00000007869.1)
Source: RNAcentral